CCCUUAGAUGUUCUGGGCCGCACGCGCGCUACACUGAUGCAUUCAACGAGUCUAAAACCUGCCCUGAUAGGGGUGGGUAAUCUUUUGAAUGUGCAUCGUGAUUGGGAUAGAUGAUUGCAAUUUUUCAUCUUCAACGAGGAAUGCCUAGUAAACGCAAGUCAUCAGCUUGCAUUGAUUACGUCCCUGCCCUUUGUACACACCGCCCGUCGCUCCUACCGAUUGAAUGAUCCGAUGAAUAUCAUGGAUUGAGGAUGCAAGCAGGUUCGCCUGUCUUCAUCUUCGAGAAGUGAAGUAAAUCUUAUCAUUUAGAGGAAGGAGAAGUCGUAACA
RNAcentral lists this ribosomal RNA (329 nucleotides) under uncultured eukaryote. RNAcentral describes it as "partial 18S ribosomal RNA". It matches the Rfam family "Eukaryotic small subunit ribosomal RNA", at positions 1470 to 1796 of the family's 1831-position model. The record is from RNAcentral.